This 1010-nucleotide ribosomal RNA is filed under the name Lycorma delicatula (spotted lanternfly). Its description in RNAcentral is "bacterial SSU rRNA". It matches the Rfam family "Eukaryotic small subunit ribosomal RNA", at positions 45 to 923 of the family's 1831-position model. Lineage: Eukaryota; Metazoa; Arthropoda; Insecta; Hemiptera; Fulgoridae. The record is from RNAcentral.
AUAGCCAUGCAAGUCUCAGUACAAGCCGAACUAAGGUGAAACCGCAAAAGGCUCAUUAAAUCAGUUAUGGUUCCUUGGAUCGUACAAUCCAUUACUUGGAUAACUGUGGUAAUUCUAGAGCUAAUACAUGCAAACAGAGUCCCGACCAGAAAUGGAAGGGACGCUUUUAUUAGAUCAAAACCAAUCGACGUCCGUCUUCCUCCGGGUCGACGGCGCCGUACUCCUUGGUGACUCUGAAUAACUUUUGGCAGAUCGCACGGUCUUCGAACCGGCGACGCAUCCUUCAAAUGUCUGCCUUAUCAACUGUCGAUGGUAGGUUCUGCGCCUACCAUGGUUGUAACGGGUAACGGGGAAUCAGGGUUCGAUUCCGGAGAGGGAGCCUGAGAAACGGCUACCACAUCCAAGGAAGGCAGCAGGCGCGCAAAUUACCCACUCCCGGCACGGGGAGGUAGUGACGAAAAAUAACGAUACGGGACUCAUCCGAGGCCCCGUAAUCGGAAUGAGUAUACUCUAAAUCCUUAUACGAGUAUCAAUUGGAGGGCAAGUCUGGUGCCAGCAGCCGCGGUAAUUCCAGCUCCAAUAGCGUAUAUUAAAGUUGUUGCGGUUAAAAAGCUCGUAGUUGGAUCUGUGUCCCGCACCGUCGGUUCACCGCCUGUCGGUGUUCAACUGGUGUGUAUGCGGGACGUCCUGCCGGUGGCGGUCCGGUUCCCCGUGGGUACGUAGGGGCGUCCUUGCUUACGCUUGCGUCGUCCCCGAAGGCCUGCGCGGUGUAUCCGGCCGCCUUUUCAAUCCCGUCGCGGUGCUCUUCACUGAGUGUCGAGGCGGGCCGGCACGUUUACUUUGAACAAAUUAGAGUGCUUUAAGCAGGCCCUGUCCCGCCUGUAUGUUGUGUGCAUGGAAUAAUGGAAUAGGACCUCGGUUCUAUUUUGUUGGUUUUCGGAAUCUGAGGUAAUGAUCAAUGGGGACAGGCGGGGGCAUUCGUAUUGCGACGUUAGAGGUGAAAUUCUUGG